CUUGACUGGGAGGCACCUGUCAAUACAUUCAAGGGCAGAGCAGCCAGAGGCAGGCAGGUGGAGUGAGCUGACAGGAGCCUGAUGAAUUGAGGACCUGGCAGAUAGCAGUGAUAGGUAAGGGAUGAGGCUGCAGAGGAACCUAAACCCACCUGUGAGAUGUCUCCGGUCCCUGGCAGAUCUCCUGGGAGCCAAAUGGCUGUGACGGCAGAGAGUGGAUCAUACUGAUUCUUCAGGGAUGGGGAGGUACAGAAUCGGGCUCUUUUGCUGUUCUUCCUUUGAGUGCCAUGAAUUCUGCAUGCCUGGCUGCACAAAAAUGCAGCUUGAACAGAUGUGGAGGCAUCUUUCUACCCAGGAUAAGAUGUGCAGAAAAGAGCUGUUGGGAGGCCUCCACCUCAAGACAAAUCCAAAGCUUGAGCCAGGAUCAGGUUUUCUGUGUCUGUGAUGCUGGGAGUUGUCAGAGUGCUCUAGUCUUAGCAAAGGACCAUGCUUCAGGUGCACUGUCCCCUUUGUCCAGGCAGCCAAGUCUCCUGGCUGUACUCUAAGGGAAGGCCUGCUGCAUCCGAAGGGAGCGAGGCACCCUGGUGAAUGUCACAGCCUGGCCUCACCCCGCACCCCGGUGAAUGUCACAGCCUGGCCUCACCCCAGUGAAUGUCACAGUGCCACCUCACCCCGCACCCCAGUGAAUGUCACAGCCUGGCCUUGCCCCAUGAGGUGAUGUGGGCUGCUCACAUGGGCUCCAUGCUCACACAGGAGCUGGGGAAAACUUUUAAUUAACCACGUUCCACUCACUGUAACACAAAAAUCCAGGCUGUAAUUGUGUCUUGGGUGUGUCCCUUUGAGUGCAGAAGGCUAGAGCCUGUUCAGGAAAGAUCUGUGGUGGCCACUCACAUGGAAAGAAGACCUUGGCUGUACGAGUACAAGGGGCAAGCUUUCCACUGAAACUGCAUGAGCCUGUGAAUAAACUUCCAAACAAAUUUAUUUGCAUCUAGGGCUACCAUUUACUCAGAAAAUAGGCAUAAAGGCAAAGAAAUUUGAAAAGAGUCAUGUAUUUUUAUG
This is a long non-coding RNA of Zonotrichia leucophrys gambelii, 1056 nucleotides long. RefSeq lists it as uncharacterized. The transcript has 4 exons. Lineage: Eukaryota; Metazoa; Chordata; Aves; Passeriformes; Passerellidae. The record is from RefSeq and is a predicted model, not a curated record.